RNAcentral lists this transfer RNA (77 nucleotides) under Acidobacteria bacterium 13_1_20CM_3_53_8. RNAcentral's name for it is "tRNA-Leu". It matches the Rfam family "tRNA". From Rfam's summary of the family: Transfer RNA (tRNA) molecules are approximately 80 nucleotides in length. Lineage: Bacteria; Pseudomonadati; Acidobacteriota. The record is from RNAcentral.
GCCGACGUAGCCCAAACUGAGGCAGAGGCACCAGUUUUAGAAACUGGCGAGUGUGGGUUCAACUCCCACCGUCGGCA